RNAcentral lists this long non-coding RNA (591 nucleotides) under Cricetulus griseus (Chinese hamster). RNAcentral describes it as "lncRNA (ENSCGRG00015040703.1)". Lineage: Eukaryota; Metazoa; Chordata; Mammalia; Rodentia; Cricetidae. The record is from RNAcentral.
CCUGUCCAGUCCCACCACACAUAGGGUUAAUGUGGAGGAUGUUGCAAGUGCAGAGAACAAGGAACUGGGAGAUGUGGCUGGCUGAAGGAGGUCAUCACAACUUAUGUCACCACUGCACAGUUGAGAAAGUCUGGCUCUCUCCUGGCUCCUGAUUUCAACCAUCGCUACAGAGAAUGAGUUUGUCUCAGGGCUGUGCUGACUCUCUGGGGGAGAUGGCUUGGUGUCUAUCCCCAAGCAGAGGACACUGUGACCGGAUUGCCUCUCCAAGGUGACAAUAGCUUCUUGGAGACAAUGAUGUUAUGUGUCCCAGAUUCAUAGGAACAAACUGUUCAUGCCAUAUACACUGAGGAACUUAACUUCAAAAAGAAAUUGGAGAUUUGCCAUGUCACGUGGAUGUAGCAUGAAUAAAUAAAUGGACCCAGAGAAUGAUAUUAGGGUUCAAACUUCAAGCUCAAUAUCAGAAAAGCAAAGCAGCUGGCCACUAGCUCUCACCUCAGGCUGAAUGGGCUGGUCCUGUCUCCAUGAGCUCUCACUGAGCCUCAGACUGUAACCUUUCUUCAGUGUUGCUGGAGAAUGAAUGCCUCUUUGACA